AUUGAACGCUGGCGGCAUGCCUAACACAUGCAAGUCGAACGAGUGGCGGACGGGUGAGUAAUGUCUGAGAAACUGCCUGAUCGAGGGGGCUAACUACUGGCAAACGUCGCUAAUACCGCCUACCAUCAGUUUUGCCCAGAUGGGAUUAGCUAGUUGGUGGGGUAACGGCUCACCAAGGCGACGAUCCCUAGCUGGUCUGAGAGGGUGACCAGCCACACUGGAACUGAGACACGGUCCAGACUCCUACGGGAGGCAGCAGUGGGGAAUAUUGCACAAUGGGCGAAAGCCUGAUGGAGCCAUGCCGCGUGAGUGAAGAAGGCCUUCGGGUUGUAAAGUACUUUUAUCGGGGAAGCGUUACCCGCACAAGAAGCACCGGCUAACUCCGUGCCAGCCGCCGCGGGAAUAC
This 406-nucleotide ribosomal RNA is filed under the name uncultured bacterium. RNAcentral's name for it is "partial 16S ribosomal RNA". It matches the Rfam family "Bacterial small subunit ribosomal RNA", at positions 30 to 526 of the family's 1533-position model. The record is from RNAcentral.